GCCUGCGUGGCUCAACGGUUAGAGCAUCCUCCUGUUGUAACAUUACCAUUCCAAUGAGUCCAUGAGGACGGUGCGGGUUCGACUCCCACCGCGGGCA
Mycena alexandri is the source of this 97-nucleotide non-coding RNA. The record is from the annotation of a GenBank genome assembly. Lineage: Eukaryota; Fungi; Basidiomycota; Agaricomycetes; Agaricales; Mycenaceae.